This 493-nucleotide ribosomal RNA is filed under the name uncultured bacterium. RNAcentral describes it as "partial 16S ribosomal RNA". It matches the Rfam family "Bacterial small subunit ribosomal RNA", at positions 30 to 523 of the family's 1533-position model. The record is from RNAcentral.
AUUGAACGCUGGCGGCACGCCUAACACAUGCAAGUCGAGCGGUUAGAGUUCUUCGGGACGCUAACAGCGGCGGACGGGUGAGUAACGCGUAGGAAUCUGCCUUAGAGUGGGGGAUAACACGGGGAAACUCGUGCUAAUACCGCAUACUACCUGAGGGUAAAAGGGUGCGAAAGCACUCGCUUUAAGAGGAGCCUGCGUUGGAUUAGCUAGUUGGUGGGGUAAAGGCCUACCAAGGCAAUGAUCCAUAGCUGGUCUGAGAGGACGAACAGCCACACUGGGACUGAGACACGGCCCAGACUCCUACGGGAGGCAGCAGUUGGGAAUAUUGGACAAUGGGGGCAACCCUGAUCCAGCGAUGCCGCGUGUGUGAAGAAGGCCUGCGGGUUGUAAAGCACUUUCGGUGGUGAGGAUGCUGUUUAGUGUAAAUAGCACUGAACGGUGACGUUAGCCACAGAAGAAGCACCGGCUAACUCUGUGCCAGCCGCCGCAGUAA